GUUAUAUGGUCAAGUGACUAAGCGCAUACGGUGGAUGCCUUGGCGGUAGAAGGCGAUGAAGGACGUAGUAGCCUGCGAUAAGCCUCGGGGAGCUGGCAAACAAGCUUUGAUCCGGGGAUUUCCGAAUGGGGAAACCCACCUCUUUGAGGUACCACGCAAGUGGGGCGAACCCGGGGAACUGAAACAUCUAAGUACCCGGAGGAAAAGAAAUCAACCGAGAUUCCCUGAGUAGUGGCGAGCGAAAGGGGAACAGCCUAUCUCGCAGUGAGUAGUGGAACGGUCUGGAAAGUCCGGCGAUACAGGGUGAUAGCCCCGUACACGAAACGAUCUGCAAGAGAUAUCAAGUAGGGCGGCACACGUGGAACGCUGUCUGAAGAUGGGGGGACCACCCUCCAAGGCUAAAUACUCUCUACCGACCGAUAGUGAACCAGUACCGUGAGGGAAAGGC
Molecule: ribosomal RNA, 448 nt
Filed under: Gammaproteobacteria bacterium
Lineage: Bacteria; Pseudomonadati; Pseudomonadota; Gammaproteobacteria
Description: bacterial LSU rRNA
Rfam family: Bacterial large subunit ribosomal RNA
Source: RNAcentral